GACGAACGCUGGCGGCGUGCUUAACACAUGCAAGUCGAACGGAAAGGCCCCAUCUUGCUGGAGUCCUCGAGUGGCGAACGGGUGAGUAACACGUGGGUAAUCUGUCCUGCACCCUGGGAUAAGCCUGGGAAACUGGGUCUAAUACUGGAUAUGACCUUUCUCCUUAUGGGGUUCGGUGGAAAGUUUUUCGGUGUAGGAUGAGCCCGCGGCCUAUCAGCUUGUUGGUGGGGUGAUGGCCUACCAAGGCGACGCCGCGCAGCCGGCCUGAGAGGGUGAUCGGCCACAUUGGGACUGAGAUACGGCCCAGACUCCUACGGGAGGCAGCGGUGGGGAAUAUUGCACAAUGGGCGGAAGCCUGAUGCAGCGACGCCGCGUGGGGGAUGACGGCCUUCGGGUUGUAAACCUCUUUCAGCAGGGACGAAGCGUAAGUGACGGUACCUGCAGAAGAAGCACCGGCUAACUACGUG
RNAcentral lists this ribosomal RNA (467 nucleotides) under uncultured bacterium. Its description in RNAcentral is "partial 16S ribosomal RNA". It matches the Rfam family "Bacterial small subunit ribosomal RNA", at positions 28 to 507 of the family's 1533-position model. The record is from RNAcentral.